This 373-nucleotide ribosomal RNA is filed under the name uncultured bacterium. Its description in RNAcentral is "bacterial SSU rRNA". It matches the Rfam family "Bacterial small subunit ribosomal RNA", at positions 525 to 896 of the family's 1533-position model. The record is from RNAcentral.
ACAGAGGGUGCGAGCGUUGUCCGGAAUCACUGGGCGUAAAGGGCGUGUAGGUGGCUUGGUAAGCCGCGUGUGAAAUCCCGGGGCUCAACCCCGGAACGGCACGCGGGACUGUCAGGCUAGAGCAUGGUAGAGGCGAGUGGAAUUCCUGGUGUAGCGGUGGAAUGCGUAGAGAUCAGGAAGAACACCGGUGGCGAAGGCGGCUCGCUGGGCCAUUGCUGACACUGAGGCGCGAAAGCGUGGGGAGCAAACAGGAUUAGAUACCCUGGUAGUCCACGCUGUAAACGAUGGGCACUAGGCGUCGGGGGGAGCGACCCUCCCGGUGCCGUCGCUAACGCAAUAAGUGCCCCGCCUGGGGAGUACGGCCGCAAGGUUG